This 311-nucleotide ribosomal RNA is filed under the name uncultured prokaryote. RNAcentral's name for it is "bacterial SSU rRNA". It matches the Rfam family "Bacterial small subunit ribosomal RNA", at positions 26 to 352 of the family's 1533-position model. The record is from RNAcentral.
AGGAUCAACGCUGGCGGCGUGCCUAACACAUGCAAGUCGAACGAGAAAGUGGAGCAAUCCACGAGUAAAGUGGCGCACGGGUGAGUAACACGUGACUAACCUACCUUUUAGUGGGGGAUAACCUAGGAAACCUGGGCUAAUACCGCAUAAUACCUACGGGUCAAAGCAGCAAUGCGCUGAAAGAGGGGGUCGCGGCCGAUUAGCUAGUUGGCGGGGUAAUGGCCCACCAAGGCGAUGAUCGGUAUCCGGCCUGAGAGGGCGCACGGACACACUGGAACUGAAACACGGUCCAGACUCCUACGGGCGGCAGU